This 567-nucleotide ribosomal RNA is filed under the name Triticum aestivum (bread wheat). Its description in RNAcentral is "partial small subunit ribosomal RNA". The record is from RNAcentral. Lineage: Eukaryota; Viridiplantae; Streptophyta; Magnoliopsida; Poales; Poaceae.
AUGUGUGUCUCACCGGGAGAACAAAGCAAAGCUGGUUCCUCCCACGGUGAGGUGUGUGUGUGUGUAGAGUUUCAUGUGUAUGUGUGUGUUCUUGUGUUCUUGAGAGAAGAAGAUAGAGAGAAACCACAAGAGAGUUUUGUGAGGGAGCUCGAGGUAGAAGAAGAAGCGGCGCUGCAAGGGAGGCGGCGCCAACAAUUGGCAUCAGAGCCUUGUCGAUCCGAGGCGACGACGGCAGCGCGGCCUACUCCAUGUGAGGUGGAGGACGGCGGCGCAAGGUGGGUGGCCGUCGGCGGCGCGAUGCUGCCGGUGGCCGGUUGCGGUGUGAUGCCGCUAGAUGAUGGCGGUGCGAAGCUGCCACAAGACGACGGUGUGACGCCGAUGGGAGGUACGACGACACGAGGCCGUUAUGAGGAGAAGACGGCGUGGCGAUCGGCGCCGCGAAGGCGUCGUCCACGUGAAGACAUGGCCGCUGCAUGCGGCAAGAGGUCGUGGUACUCGGCGCCGCGACAGCGUCGUCCACGGCAAGACGGCGCAAGGUGGGCGCUGUUGGCGGCACGAUGGCGUUGA